RNAcentral lists this ribosomal RNA (253 nucleotides) under uncultured bacterium. RNAcentral's name for it is "partial 16S ribosomal RNA". It matches the Rfam family "Bacterial small subunit ribosomal RNA", at positions 524 to 776 of the family's 1533-position model. The record is from RNAcentral.
UACAUGUGGGGCAAGCGUUGUUCGGAAUUACUGGGCAUAAAGGGUGCGUAGGCGGCUUGUUAAGUCAGGGGUGAAAGUUUUCGGCCCAACCGGAAAAUUGCCUUUGAUACUGGCGAGCUCGAGUGCGUGAGGGGUAACCGGAACGAGUGGUGUAGCGGUGAAAUGCGUAGAUAUCACUCGGAAGGCCAAAGGCGAAGGCAGGUUACUGGUACGCAACUGACGCUGAGGCACGAAAGCGUGGGGGGCAAACAGG